GACGAACGCUGGCGGCGUGCCUAACACAUGCAAGUCGAACGGAAAGGCCCUGCUUUUGUGGGGUUCUCGAGUGGCGAACGCGUGAGUAACACGUGAGUAACCUGCCCUUGACUUUGGGAUAACUUCAGGAAACUGGGGCUACUACCGGAUAGGAGCUCCUGCUGCAUGGUGGGGGUUGGAAAGUUUCGGCUGUUGGGGAUGGACUCGCGGCUUAUCAGCUUGUUGGUGGGGUAGGGGCUUACCAAGGAUUUGACUGGUAGCCGGCCUGGGAGGGUGACCGGCCACAUUGGGACUGAGAUACGGACCAGACUGCUACGGGAGGCAGCAGUGGGGAAUAUUGCACAAUGGGCGGGAGCCUGAUGCAGCAACGCCGCGUGCGGGAUGACGGCCUUCGGGGUGUGAACCGCUGUCGCCUGUGACGAAGCGGGAGUGACGGUAAUGGGUAAAGAAGCACCGGCUAACUACGUG
This 468-nucleotide ribosomal RNA is filed under the name uncultured bacterium. RNAcentral's name for it is "partial 16S ribosomal RNA". It matches the Rfam family "Bacterial small subunit ribosomal RNA", at positions 28 to 507 of the family's 1533-position model. The record is from RNAcentral.